AUUGAACGCUGGCGGCAUGCUUUACACAUGCAAGUCGAACGGCAGCACGAAAGAGCUUGCUCUUUUGGUGGCGAGUGGCGAACGGGUGAGUAAUGCAUCGGAACGUACCGAGUAAUGGGGGAUAACUAUCCGAAAGGAUAGCUAAUACCGCAUACGCUUUGAGAAGGAAAGUGGGGGCUCUUCGGACCUCACGUUAUUCGAGCGGCCGAUGUCUGAUUAGCUAGUUGGUGGGGUAAAGGCCUACCAAGGCGACGAUCAGUAGCGGGUCUGAGAGGAUGAUCCGCCACACUGGGACUGAGACACGGCCCAGACUCCUACGGGAGGCAGCAGUGGGGAAUUUUGGACAAUGGGCGCAAGCCUGAUCCAGCCAUGCCACGUGUCUGAAGAAGGCCUUCGGGUUGUAAAGGACUUUUGUUAGGGAAAGAAAAAGGAUAAGUGUA
Molecule: ribosomal RNA, 440 nt
Filed under: Kingella oralis
Lineage: Bacteria; Pseudomonadati; Pseudomonadota; Betaproteobacteria; Neisseriales; Neisseriaceae
Description: bacterial SSU rRNA
Rfam family: Bacterial small subunit ribosomal RNA
Source: RNAcentral